RNAcentral lists this long non-coding RNA (866 nucleotides) under Physcomitrium patens. RNAcentral's name for it is "long non-coding RNA (PPAT_LNC011900)". Lineage: Eukaryota; Viridiplantae; Streptophyta; Bryopsida; Funariales; Funariaceae. The record is from RNAcentral.
GUCUGCAGAUCCAAAUCCCACUCCCGUCGCACUUGCCCACUGUCCCCGGGUCGCACACUUCUAGACGUAGCACAAGCGCUGUUGCCGACACCGCGUUGAUAUUCGGCGAGCCGCGCAUUGCGAAAUCGAAACCCCGGGAUGCACAUACUCGCGGAGAUUUGUGAUGUGCAGUGGCGGUGCUUUUCUCUUUUGUUUGUUUGUUUGUUUGUUUGUGUUUAUUUCUUUCUCUGCUGAUCACGAGCCACAUUCCGGCGGCAGCAUGUACGCCUCAAUCGAUGCCAGUGACGAGUGUCGCCGAAGGAUCGCAGGAGUCCUUUCGGCGUUGUUGAUAAAACCAGGAAGAAUUGUAGUGUGCGACAAUGCGGAAUAGAGAUUCGGGUGUUGGAAUUGGCCUCCACCUCCCGCGCAUCACCACUUUCAAACCCAAUUCGGCGCCGGUGCUGUUGAACAGUCCUGAUCUGCCAGCUGGUACUGCCACCUCAUCAUUUGCCAUGUCAGCAAUUGCAUGAGUGAGAUUGAAUAUGAUUCCAACCUACGUCUUUGACUGGUCAAAAGCCUAGAGUUGAAUCAUUAAAUAUUGCAAAUACAGGUUAUGUAACAACAGACAUGUUAUUAGAAUAUAAGUGUAGUUUUAGGAUACAUAUGUAUAUAUAUUAUCUACAGUAUUUAGAUAUCAUACGUGUUUAGAUAUCUCACAAAUUUUGCUUUGAAAGUUGCUAAGAAUAACAAAGUUUUUAUACCAAAGAUAUGUAUCUGACUUAUUAAACUAUUGUUCCUCAAAAAUCUUACAAUGGGAUAUAAAAUGUUUCUUUAAAUUUAGUAAUUUAUUCAAGUAAAACAAUAAUGUGAAUUUCUAAUAAAGCAAA